RNAcentral lists this ribosomal RNA (459 nucleotides) under uncultured bacterium. Its description in RNAcentral is "partial 16S ribosomal RNA". It matches the Rfam family "Bacterial small subunit ribosomal RNA", at positions 338 to 795 of the family's 1533-position model. The record is from RNAcentral.
CCUACGGGUGACUGCAGUGAGGAAUAUUGGUCAAUGGGCGGGAGCCUGAACCAGCCAAGCCGCGUGCGGGAAGAAGGUACUGCGUAUUGUAAACCUCUUUUGUCAGGGAACAAAGGCGGGCACUAGUCCCCGGUUGCGGGUACCUGAAGAAAAAGCAUCGGCUAACUCCGUGCCAGCAGCCGCGGUAAUACGGAGGAUGCGGGCGUUAUCCGGUUUUAUUGGGUUUAAAGGGUGCGCAGGCGGCCUGUUAAGUCAGCGGUAAAAGCCCGGGGCUAAACCCCGGCGAGCCGUUGAAACUGGCGGGCUGGAGUGGGCGAGAAGUACGCGGAAUGCGCGGUGUAGCGGUGAAAUGCUUAGAUAUCGCGCAGAACCCCGAUUGCGAAGGCAGCGUACCGGCGCCACACUGACGCUGAGGCACGAAAGCGUGGGUAUCGAACAGGAUUAGAUACCCGUGUAGUG